AUGUGGGACCCCGGGCACGGCCGGACCGUGUCCCUCGGCCACCCCGGGCCGAAGCCAGGGAACGGCAGCGAAGGCGCUUCCCGGGGAGCGGAGGGGCCGGGCCGGCUCAGCAGCCCCGCGGCGGUGGCUGCAUGUGGCGGGGCUUCCCUGCUCCUUUCCCCCGAGUUUUCCCGCUGGGAUCUCCUGCUGAGUUCCCCUCACCGGGGCUGGGGAGCGCCGAGAAGCCGCGUCCCGCCCGCGGCCGCGCUGGGAGCGGCUCCCGACGGCGCCGAGGAACCGGAGCGGAUCCCGGGUCGGGAGCGCCGGGAGCAGCGGGGCAGGAGCCGGGGAAGAGCCGCAGCGGAAGCCCUGCCCUUCCUUGCCGGUGGCCGUGCCACCCUGGGCCGGUGCCCGGUGACCGGGGGCAGCUCCCUCGGGGAGGAUUUGUCGGAACGGGACCGCAGCGCUCACCCGACCGCUCCCGGCCCGCCGGAGCGCCCCGCACGUACCUGGAUGUCCGAGAGAGCCGCGGGCGGCUCCUGCGCUCCGGCCAUGGCUCCUUCGGAGCCUUCCCGGCGCUUCCCGGCGCUUCCCGGGACGGACGGAGGGAAGCUGGAAGCGGCUCCCGCCGCCGCCGCCGCCCGGACUCGCUCCACGCCCGGCGGCGGGACACGGGCUCGGCGCAGCCGGAGGAACCUGCCCGGCCGGGGCGGCUGGAGCUUCCCAGAGCGGCUGGAGCUUCCCAGGAGCAGCUGGAGCUUCCCGGAGGAGCGGCUGGAGCUUCCCAGGAGCAGCUGGAGCUUCCCAGGCGGCACCGUGCCAGCCCCGGGAACGGGCAGGGAUCAGCCUCCGGCGUGGGAGAGCCCAAAGGAGCGCCCGGGUGCCCCUGGGCACUCCGGGAAUGAGGGAACAGCGCUGGGAGAGCAGCCGGGAGCUCCUGGUGCUGCUGCAGAGCCCAGAGGAGUGCACAGAGCUGCACUCAGAGCCCCUCAGAUCCCAGGGAUCCAGGCUGGGAGAGCUGGGAAUGCCCAGCCUGGAGAGGAGAAGGAUCCAGGGAGAGCUUCCAGCUCAUUCCAGGCCCUGAAGGGGCUCCAGGAGAGCUGCAGAGGGACUGGGGACAAGGGACAGAGGGACAGGACACAGGGAAUUGGCUCCCACUGCCAGAGGGAUGGAUGGGAGAUUGGGAAUGAGGAAUUCCUGGCUGGGCUGGGAUUGCCAGAGCAGCUGGGGCUGCCCCUGGAUCCCUGA
Molecule: long non-coding RNA, 1227 nt
Filed under: Taeniopygia guttata (zebra finch)
Lineage: Eukaryota; Metazoa; Chordata; Aves; Passeriformes; Estrildidae
Description: lncRNA (ENSTGUG00000026152.1)
Source: RNAcentral